Molecule: ribosomal RNA, 433 nt
Filed under: uncultured bacterium
Lineage: Bacteria
Description: partial 16S ribosomal RNA
Rfam family: Bacterial small subunit ribosomal RNA
Source: RNAcentral
AACGAACGCUGGCGGCAUGCCUAACACAUGCAAGUCGAACGAGACCUUCGGGUCUAGGGUCGCACGGGGGCGUAACGCGUGGGAACCUGCCCUUAGGUUCGGAAUAACUCCCCGAAAGGGGUGAUAAUAGCGGAUAAUGUCUUCGGACCGAAAAUUUAUUGCAUUUGGAUGGUCACGCGUGGCAUUAGCUAUUUGGUAGGGUAAAAGCUUCCCAAGGCGACGAUCAACAGCUGGUCUGAGAGGAUGAUCAGCGACACUGGGACUGAGAAGCGGCCCAGACUCCUACGCGAGGCAGCAGUGGCGGAUAGUGGAACGUCGGCUAAAGCAUGAUCGAGUACUGCCGGUUGAGUGAUGUAGUCCUGAGGGUUGAAAAGCUCUUUUACCCGUGAUCAUCAUGACAGUACCGGGAGAAUAAGCCCCGGCUAACUCCGUG